Molecule: ribosomal RNA, 621 nt
Filed under: Triticum aestivum (bread wheat)
Lineage: Eukaryota; Viridiplantae; Streptophyta; Magnoliopsida; Poales; Poaceae
Description: partial small subunit ribosomal RNA
Source: RNAcentral
AUGAGCCCAGAGGAGGCAUCGCGCCAUAAGUCAAUGAGCUCUAAAGAUUUUGUGAUGUCAGUGAACCGUGCAUUGGAUUUUGGUUAUGGACCGCAUCCCAGCUCUAGUAGUGUUGACCAUUACAUGGAAAAGUUAUUUUCCGGCAUUGGACAUACUGCAGCGUCUACAAAAGAAUGCUUUGAAGUACCACCAAGAGCAAUUGGGUUGAUCUUUGAGAGAAUGGCAUUUCGGUUGUCAAUGAUGCAUUCCCAUGAUUAUGUUUCAAAAGGGCUAGCGCUAGUUGGUGAUGCUGCUCAUACAGUUCACCCCUUGGCGGGCCAAGGUGUCAAUUUGGGUUUUGGAGAUGCAGCUGCCUUAGCAAAAGUUAUUUCUGAGGGAGUUUCCAUUGGUGCAAAUAUCGGAGAUCUAUCUUUGCUAAGUUGGUAUGAGAAUGACCGGAAGACUGCCAAUGUUGCGAUGGCAGCGGUUCUAGAUGGUUUCCAGAAGAUGUACUCCGUUGAUUUCGGACCCCUGAAUGUGCUAAGAGCUGCUGCAUUCCAUGGGGCCCAGUAUAUAUCGCCGCUAAAAAGGAAUAUAAUCUUUUAUGCAAUGGGCAACAAACAAUCUCCUCUAUUCUCAUAG